RNAcentral lists this ribosomal RNA (465 nucleotides) under Vreelandella stevensii. RNAcentral describes it as "partial 16S ribosomal RNA". It matches the Rfam family "Bacterial small subunit ribosomal RNA", at positions 338 to 795 of the family's 1533-position model. The record is from RNAcentral. Lineage: Bacteria; Pseudomonadati; Pseudomonadota; Gammaproteobacteria; Oceanospirillales; Halomonadaceae.
CCUACGGGAGGCAGCAGUGGGGAAUAUUGGACAAUGGGCGAAAGCCUGAUCCAGCCAUGCCGCGUGUGUGAAGAAGGCCUUCGGGUUGUAAAGCACUUUCAGUGGGGAAGAAAGCCUUGGGGCUAAUACCCUCGAGGAAGGACAUCACCCACAGAAGAAGCACCGGCUAACUCCGUGCCAGCAGCCGCGGUAAUACGGAGGGUGCGAGCGUUAAUCGGAAUUACUGGGCGUAAAGCGCGCGUAGGCGGUCUGAUAAGCCGGUUGUGAAAGCCCCGGGCUCAACCUGGGAACGGCAUCCGGAACUGUCAGGCUAGAGUGCAGGAGAGGAAGGUAGAAUUCCCGGUGUAGCGGUGAAAUGCGUAGAGAUCGGGAGGAAUACCAGUGGCGAAGGCGGCCUUCUGGACUGACACUGACGCUGAGGUGCGAAAGCGUGGGUAGCAAACAGGAUUAGAUACCCCAGCAGUC